ACUAUUCAAAAAAGGAUGCAAUGGAGAACAUUUACAGAGGACUGUGGGUAAAGCAAAGUCUUCAAGGGAAGAUAACAAAGGAUGAAACAAUGGUGUUGUGUGACUUCCUAGUGUGAAUCAUGGCAAUACAGUGAAAGACAGUGAUUUACUGCUUUUGAGGGCGUGCAUGUAUAUGAUUAACGGAUGGAAGUGCAGGACUCCAAGAUUUACUUCCUUCCCUUUCCAGCAGAAUUACCUGAGACGAGUAAAAUCUACUGGUGGAGUCACUCCAUUAUUCUUAUCUGUGGAGAUCUAGAUCUUGAUUUGAAAGUUUCUGAGAAAAUCUUCAGCUCAGACUUGAGGGUCAACUUUACCAGCUGAAGGAUCUGCAUUUACUGCUCAACCACAUCUAAUUUGAUGUCCUCUGCAGAUUUAAAAUGUGUGCCUUCUUUUCCGUCACCAAGUCAUCCCUGGGUUACUACUGAACAUCCUUCUCAAUUCCCCCCGACCCAUGGAUGGCUGUUCUCCAUUGUCUGUUUCACCAGAUGUCCUCAAAACAAACAGACAGAAGAAGGAAGUGGCUAAUGGAGCUGUGGAGUCCAAGUGUGACUGCCAAGAGGAAUCCAGCAAAGCCAAAAAGCCCAAGCAUGUAGCCCUGCCCGAAGCACGCCACACGCAUGGAAAACCCAGAGGAAAUGAGUGAGGAUCAAUGGGAAGAAGAGAGCCAGCCAGGUUCGAUGCCUUCUCCAUCCGUCAGUGAGGGUGUGGAGAGCCUGCAGGCGUGUGCCUCCCUCUGUAACUUGCUAUUCCUUGUGUAAUGUCAAGUGGAAGUGUGAAGCACCACAAACUGCUCUGAGCAGAGCCCACUUCCCUUCACCCACGGAGAGCGUGAAGCAGUUACACCAACAUCAAUCAAGGAAAACCCACAGGCUGAGCUCACACGGUUGAAGCAGGAAGUUGAAGAUUUGUCCAGGAGCAGAUAGCUGAAGAGAGAGAGAGAGAAGAGAGAACGGCUUACAGCUCAGGUCCUCUCUCCAUGCUUAGGAACCACUACAAAUGCUACUGCCUUGAGUCUCAUUUUGUUUCCCUCUGGAAACCACAUGUGUACCUUGUUUGCAACAGUAUGGGGCACCGAGGAAGAGAACCAAUGGCAGAGGCCACAUGUGCAAGCAAGAUGGGAGUCUGGAGAGCCUCAGGCUAAAUCACGAGUGCUCAGCCCUCUCCUCUUUGUAAGGGCAACCGGGUCAUAUCUGCCAGCAUAGAACUGCUCUGUCCACAGCCCUAAAAUCUAAUACCUAGAACAAUAAAUGCACUUAAGCACGUCAAA
Molecule: long non-coding RNA, 1306 nt
Organism: Homo sapiens (human)
Lineage: Eukaryota; Metazoa; Chordata; Mammalia; Primates; Hominidae
Gene: CASC15
Product: cancer susceptibility 15
Source: Ensembl